GACGAACGCUGGCGGCGUGCUUAACACAUGCAAGUCGAACGGAAAGGCCCUGCUUUUGUGGGGUGCUCGAGUGGCGAACGGGUGAGUAACAAGUGAGUAACCUGCCCUUGACUUUGGGAUAACUUCAGGAAACUGGGGCUAAUACCGGAUAGGAGCUCCUGCUGCAAGGUGGGGGUGGGAAAGUUUCGGCGGUUGGGGAUGGAUUCGCGGCUUAUGAGCUGGUUGGUGGGGUAGUGGCUUACCAAGGCUUUGACGGGUAGCCGGCCUGACAGGGUGACCGGCCACAUUGGGACUGACAUACGGCCCAGACUCCUCCGUGCGGCCGCCAUCAGGAAUAUUGCCCAAUGGACGGAAGCCUCAUGCAGCAACGCCGCGUGCGGGAUGCCGGCCUUCGGUUUGUAAACCGCUUUCGCCUGUGACGCAGCAUGAGUGACAGUAAUCGGUAACGAAGCCCCGGCUCACUACGUG
RNAcentral lists this ribosomal RNA (468 nucleotides) under uncultured bacterium. RNAcentral's name for it is "partial 16S ribosomal RNA". It matches the Rfam family "Bacterial small subunit ribosomal RNA", at positions 28 to 507 of the family's 1533-position model. The record is from RNAcentral.